AUGGAAGUGGAAAAAGACAGAAUAGGAAGGACAAGAGACCUCUUCCAGAAAAUCAGAAAUAUCGGAGGCAAAUUUAAGGCAAAAAUGGGCACGAUCAAAAACAAAGAUGGCAGGGACCUAACAGUAGCUGAAGAGAUCAAGAAAAGGUGGCGAGAAUAUACAGAAGAUCUGUAUAGGAAGGAUAAUAAUAUAGAGGAUAGCUUUGAAGGUGUGGUGAGUGAAUUAGAACCAGACAUCCUGAGGAGUGAGGUUGAAUGGGCCUUAAGAAGCAUUGCUAACAACAAGGCAGCAGGAGAUGACGGGAUCCCAGCUGAGUUGUUUAAAAUCUUGGAAGUUGAUGCUGUCAAGGUGAUGCAUGCCAUAUGCCAGCAAAUAUGGAAAACACAAGAUUGGCCAUCAGAUUGGAAAAAUUCAAUUUAUAUCCCCAUACCAAAAAAGGGAAGCGCUAAAGAAUGCUCAAACUUCCGUACUGUGGCUACUUGGUCUUUAUACAAAUUUCUCAGGAGAUAGACAAGGUGACUUGGUAGCAUACAUUAAGAAUACUUUGGUAGGUUAAAUACAAUCUGGUUAAUGGAGGCUUACUACCAGGUAAGUCGAUAUAAGAUUGCAACCUCAAUAAUGCUAGCUGAACAAUCAGUGUUGGAUGUAUACUCCUGAACGAUUAAUUGGUGGAAAAGUAGGUAUCUUUUCUUGUUUCAUAUAUUCCCAUACACACAUUUAUUAUUGAGAACUACAUUGCAAAAUUCUAGAAAUAAGAAUUUCAAACUAGAAAUUUGCUUCUAUUUGUUUAGUCUGCAUUGUAACAUAGGAUCAAAAGAAGAAUGUUAAAAAGCAGUAAAGGUUGACCUUUGAAUUGUGUCUUAGACAGCAGUAUCAUGAGGUUUACUUCUGAAUACACAUGUAUUUCACAUUACUAUCUAAAACACUCUUUUCCAUAGUCAAAGCUAAAUUUAUCUGUGUAAAUCAACAUUAAUUCCAUCUCCUUUUUCAACAAUCUUUUUCAAAAGCUAGAUCUAGACUCAGGAAUAAUUUACAUCAUGCAGUUUAGCCCAAUAUAAAUUUGUCCCAGAACAGCCUCAUAUUUGACAUAUUUGUGCUUGUCUAGACAGCCCAGGUGCACAUUUGCUCUGCUGGGGCAACCAGUAUCUAACUUUCUCAUUGUUACCAGCCCAGGUCCUACUUUUGGCCUGGCAGAGAGAUCAAUCCAAACUUCUGAUUAUUGCGACUGCAUCUGCUGAUCUCAGAAAGGGGUGCCCAUGUGACCAGAGGGCCCUUUCUAUCUUUCUGGGAAAAGGUGAUGGCAGAAGUGCCCAGUCUGGACAGCAGAUUGGAUUGAAUUGGACUUAAGCUCACAGUCCAGGCUGCCCCAAAGUUUUGGGAUACUCCAGAGUAUUCUCUAAUUUUACCCAAAGCAAGAUAAAGUCAAUUUAAAUCAACCCCCUUCUUCCCCCUCUCCAAAAGCAAGAUUUGCCUGAAACCAUUGUGCAUUGUAAUUUUAGCUGAUAAUGUUUUAACUUAUUUUAUUAUCUAUGUUCAGAGAUUCUAUAAGCAUCAUAUAUAAAACUGUAGGUCAACUCCAUAUCAUGGAAUUUCUGCUUUUAAUAUUUCAAAUCUCUGGUCUUAAUGUUAAUGUUUUUGGGGUUUUUUUGUUUUUUAAACCCUCUGUUUUUAAUGUUUUAAAGUUUUAUACUCCUGGUCUGUGACCAUCACAAUAACUUUCAUUCAUUCACUCAUUGUGUAUUUUGGAGACAAUCAGAAAUCAAUUUGGAAUGAGUCUGGGAUUUGUUGUUGUCGUCAUUAUAGACCAAGUCCCUAGAUGUGUUUAGCUAGACUGAGAGAAGCAUGUUUCAUCUUUUCUUUUCUAUAGCAGCCUCCACAGUUCUCUCGAAAUGCCACAAGGAAUCCUGCUGAUGUGUAUUGAGGAUAUCCAAACUGGGCAAAGGAAAGCAUAAAGCAGAUCCAUCCCCAAAAAUCUCUUUCUUAACAUGAAAAAUGUCACGAUAGAGCUUUAUCAAGACAGACAUCCAUUAUUCUGUUGCAUGUUGUUUUUCUUUAAAGAUGCUAUAAGAGGUUCCUACACCUGAAAAAGAGUCCACAGUAAGAUCUGCAAUUUAUUUCUUAUUUUCUUGCCAACAAAACCCUGCCUCACCAAAUGUUGAUUUUAAAGCUUGCAUGGCAUCUCCUGUAAAUAAAUUAAUCUAUAAUGUUGUGCUUAGAAUGUUCAUUCCUUU
Molecule: long non-coding RNA, 2231 nt
Filed under: Anolis carolinensis (green anole)
Lineage: Eukaryota; Metazoa; Chordata; Lepidosauria; Squamata; Anolidae
Description: lncRNA (ENSACAG00000035251.1)
Source: RNAcentral